UGAGAAUUAGAGAAGAAACAAACAAAUCAUGUUAUGGACGAGCUGAUUUAGAAGCCGCAUCGUAUGCUAAAACGCUAUCGUUUCGGUGUUUGAUUCCCCUCACAGCAGCAACGCGAGAAUGCCCAAGCUGUUUUGCACUCCAAGGUCGAAUCUCCCUUGCCGCUACCGCUGGGGAAAACCCUAAAUUGCUACUGAUAGUCUGAACUUGUCGUUGUGAAGAAAUGGAAUGCAGUCCCUGAGAACUCGUACUACCUUCUGUAUCCGUGCUUGUGUGAUUUCUUCUUCAUAAAUCGAGGUUAUAUUCUCUUGGUUUUAUUGGCGGAAUGGUUGUAAGUUCGCUUGGCUUCGGUCCUAUGGAGCCAUUUGCAUUUUCGACUAUAGCAGAAGAGGUUUCAUGGAAAGGUCUGUGAAGUGUUUUUGAGGUAUAAACCUCUGGCUGAUGGGGAUGGUCUUCAAAGGUCUCGGAUCGUGAGAGAAUCAGUCUUGGGAAAUACUGUGGUCGAGACAAAAGUUCGCUGGCAAAACAGUAAUAUUUGUUCAUCGUAUGAGUUGAACCAAAACAAACCGAAGUUACUCAAAUAUGACUGAAAUCACACCAGAAUUCAACUGGCUGUUUAAGUUCGUUUAGGGGGUCGGUUUUCUGUAACGUUCCGAUUGUCAGUUUAUUCUCCUUCAUUUGUUUAUUGUUUUCUCCAAGAAACGUGGAACAAUUUUAAAAAUCUUCGAGGUUCUAGUAAAAUCGUCAAGGUUUGAA
Tarenaya hassleriana is the source of this 754-nucleotide long non-coding RNA. RefSeq lists it as uncharacterized. Lineage: Eukaryota; Viridiplantae; Streptophyta; Magnoliopsida; Brassicales; Cleomaceae. The transcript has 3 exons. The record is from RefSeq and is a predicted model, not a curated record.